RNAcentral lists this transfer RNA (74 nucleotides) under Cylindrotheca closterium. RNAcentral's name for it is "tRNA-Pro". It matches the Rfam family "tRNA". Rfam says of the family: Transfer RNA (tRNA) molecules are approximately 80 nucleotides in length. Their secondary structure includes four short double-helical elements and three loops (D, anti-codon, and T loops). Lineage: Eukaryota; Bacillariophyta; Bacillariophyceae; Bacillariales; Bacillariaceae. The record is from RNAcentral. RNAcentral also lists the same sequence under 32 other names.
CGGGAUAUAGCUCAGCUUGGUAGAGCACCUGCUUUGGGAGCAGGGGGUCGUAGGUUCAAAUCCUACUAUCCCGA